Molecule: long non-coding RNA, 1832 nt
Organism: Fundulus heteroclitus (mummichog)
Lineage: Eukaryota; Metazoa; Chordata; Actinopteri; Cyprinodontiformes; Fundulidae
Exons: 3
Source: RefSeq, a predicted model, not a curated record
CUUUAGCAUUAGCUUAGCUACACGAGAGCCCCAGAGGCUAGUCUGUAAUGACUUCUGAGUGUCGUUAUAGUGCAAGUUUAAACAUAUUUGACUCUGUUAAUGCUAAAGCCAGUUCAUAGACCUGUUCAUUCUGCUCUUUUGCUUCUUUUUACUUAAUUUAAAGAUUGGAACACAGUACAGCUUCCUAUGGGACGUCUGUUGUUGUUUACGUUGCGUUUGUUUGGUUGGUUGGCAUUUAUGUUAAAAAAUGUGCAUCUUAUUUAAUUUAUGACGUUAGGGAAGCAUUACUUUUUGUAAAUCAAGUUUCUUUAUAGUACUAUUACUUAUUAAAAAUAUGCAUCGUGCCCAACAGUCACUGACGUGAUGACUUUACAUUCCCUCGUCUAAGCCUCCUCAAAGUUGUAGUUUAGACGCUUUGUGAUGCUUAAAAAAAGCUUGAAAACAACACCCAAAGCACAUUGUGCUGCAGAUAUAGUUCUUACUCUGUAGACAACUGCAAGCUUUCAUUUGUAUCUUUGCAAAUAGUUAAAAAAAAAAAAUUCAAUGGAAUUGGAAUGUCAACCCAAAGUACAUUCAUUCAUUUCAUCUUAAUUAAGAACAGACGUGAGGAUACAUCAGCUAAGGUUUAAAAAAAUAACCACAUUUUUGUCCUGCACUUCCAGUCUUUUUUUUCACUUGUCGGCACUUUCUGCUUGCUAAAAAAUUCUGACAUAACCAUUGCAUAGUUUGACAGUUUGUUUUUUAUUUAGAUUACAUUUGAAGACUGCUCCUGUGUGGCUGGUACAGUGCUGUGCAAUCAGUGUUGCAUUACAUCACCAGACUGCUCACUACUCUGCUCACAAUUUGGCUGCUGUGCCACCAGUACUAAGCUGUACUGAAACCGAACAAAUCUGGCACAAACCAACAACCAUUAAGGUUAAACCAGGCCGUGUGCGUCACAUGGUUUUAUGUCUGCAAGACCAGAAUGGCAGCGCACAGUCGGAAAUGGUGUAAGGAGAAAACGUUACAAGGCAGACACACCAGACACUGAUGUUCUCAGAGUAGCAGAGGUGUAUCCGGACUUUCCUGCAGACCUUGCACCUCUCAUUACUACCAUGGUAAUCAGUGCUGAUGUCCCUUUAUUUGAUUCAGCCUUUGGUAAAGUCGAGGAAGGCAGUCCAUUCGCUUUUCAACAUUCACUACCAGUCAGUUGGGUAAUAAUUUGCCAUGUGGAUUCCCCCUCCUCUGCCAUCACUGCCUCUUGACCACUACCAUCUCGAGCCCACCUGUGUCUAGUUUGUCUGCAGCCAACAGCAACAACUUGAACUGGAGUGUCUUCCGACAACGCUGGAACAGUCCGGUCAAAUUGAAGUUGCCACCAGGGAGCAGAGCGCAACAUUUCUAGGAAGUCUGUCAUAUGAGAGGAGCCACUUCUGCUUUGAGCUUAGCGCAGCGCAUCAAGAUGGGAACAGCAGCCACAGCCGCCAUGAAAAGGGGCCUAGCACUUAACCCAUCAGCUAUCUGGGAAUACUGCAGGAUCAAAAACACCAACUUUGGGCCCUGUGGGUUUGUGAUUCACCCUGAUGCUCCAUGGUUGGGCUCUUCUCCAGAUGUUGUUGUUUUUGACCUGACAGAGAUGCAAACAUUUGUUUUGUUGGAGUUAAAAUGUCCCUAUACUAAGAGUUAUGUGAAUUGUCGCUAUGUAAUGACACGAUGAGGCUCGAGUCAAGUCACAGCUGCUACUGGCAGGUGAAAGGGCAGCUUCUAAUCACUGGCAUGGAGUGGUGUGAUUUUGUCGUCUAUCCAGAGGAUGACAUUCUUGUCCAACGCAUUUAUAGAGAUACCCGUGUGUG